AUUUGUCACGUGAUUUUUUUCGGACCAAAGCAAGCUUUGAAGCAGUGGUUCUAUGGAAUUGUAGUUCAGGGUUCGAAGCACGCAUCGAAGCUUCAGUGUCACACUGCCAUCACUAGCUGCAUGGACUUUCUGUGUGUUUCCUAAUGAUGUGUGCAUUCUUGAGGAAAUAUAAACACAAGAUGGCAGCAAGCCAGGAUGAGCUCGUCCCCAAAAAAGGCACAGUGUCGUCGGUGGUUUGGAACUGGUUUGGUUUUGUGGUGUCCAAGAGCGAACAAACCACGACGCACUGCAAAGUUUGUUUGAAAGCUGUUGCAACCGACCAAUUUAUUCCAGCACCUCAAGCAGAGGCAUGCAGCCGAGUGGGAGAAAUGUUGCUGUCUGCGAGAUAUACAGGACCGCAGCCCACAAACACUCGCUAAAAAACAGUCUACAAAAAAAACGAUGUAAAUCGGGUUUGGUGUGAAAAAAUCUGAGAUUUUAUUUUUAAGCCAUAUCGCCCAGCCCUAAUUCCACCACUAAUAUUGCAUCUUUGUUGUUGUAUUAUGCUGAAGUAGCAGUUUGCAUAUAAGUUAGGGAUAUUAUUGGUGAACCUUAAUAUCUUAUCCAUUUGUCUCGUAAAUCCCCCACCCGAGUUGCUCUGCCACGAGAACGUGACGUAAUUGCCUGGCUUGUACCACUUAUAGCGUUACAGUUGUCUUUCCAUGGAAUGGCGCCAGCGACAACGGCAGCCUGUCAUGGCAGCUCCUUUUCAUUGUUGUAGUUUUAGUGUGUUUUCAGUGUGUUUUUGCUAUUUUGAACUCUUUUCUUACUUUCUUACUUUCUUACUACUUUGUUCACGUCGCCUAAAUACUUUUUUGGCGUUUUUGAGCACUUUUUAUUUUUUGUUUAUGCUGGUCUCCAUGGCGACGGGGAGUCGCAUUGUUUUCACCCGCGAUCAGAUGAUCGCCCUGAGGCCCCCUAGCAUCCUGACCGGAGAGAGACCCUCCAUACUGGAGGAGCUGAGGAGACGAUGAGGCUGCAGAGCGGGGGUUAAACGGAGGAUGAAGAAGAGGAGCUUUAAAUUCUACAUCCCUGCAAUCAUCGAGCAGAUACCGGACUCCAACGUCACCAUUCCCGGCUUCCAGAGGGUUCGAGCCGUCAGGGACACCACCGCGACCGGCAUGAAGAAAGGAGGGGGACUAUCCGUGCUCAUAAACAACAGGUGGUGUAACGCCGGGCACGUCUGUGUGAAAGAGCGUCUGCAGCCCGGACAUCAAGCUCGUCGCCAUCGGACUUCGUCCUUCAUCAUCAUCAUCACUGUUUACAUUUAUGAUGUCUUAUUUAUUCUCCUGUACAGCAUUUUGGUCAACUUUGGUUGUUUUUAAAGUGCUUAACAAAUAAAGUUGGAUUGGAUUGGA
Molecule: long non-coding RNA, 1397 nt
Organism: Dicentrarchus labrax (European seabass)
Lineage: Eukaryota; Metazoa; Chordata; Actinopteri; Moronidae
Exons: 2
Source: RefSeq, a predicted model, not a curated record